This 71-nucleotide transfer RNA is filed under the name Candidatus Omnitrophota bacterium. RNAcentral describes it as "tRNA-Gly". It matches the Rfam family "tRNA". Rfam says of the family: Transfer RNA (tRNA) molecules are approximately 80 nucleotides in length. Their secondary structure includes four short double-helical elements and three loops (D, anti-codon, and T loops). Lineage: Bacteria; Pseudomonadati; Candidatus Omnitrophota. The record is from RNAcentral. RNAcentral also lists the same sequence under 1 other name.
GCGGGAGUAGUUCAGUGGCAGAACGGUAGCUUCCCAAGCUACUAACGACGGUUCGAUUCCGUUCUCCCGCU